This 1448-nucleotide ribosomal RNA is filed under the name uncultured bacterium. RNAcentral's name for it is "bacterial SSU rRNA". It matches the Rfam family "Bacterial small subunit ribosomal RNA". The record is from RNAcentral.
AGAGUUCGAUCAGGCUCAGAACGUACGCUGGCGGCACGCUUAACACAUGCCAUUCGAACGAAGUAGCAAUACUUAGUGGCAGACGGGUGAGUAACAUGUGGGUAUCUGCCCUUUGGCCUGGAAUAACACGAGGAAACUUGUGCUAAUACCGGAUAAGUCUUUACGGAGAAAGCUUUAUGCACCAUUGGAUGAGCCCGCACUUGAUUAGUUUGUUGGUGGGGUAACGGCCUACCAAGACUGUGAUCAAUAGCUGAUUUGAGAGGAUGAUCAGCCACAUUGGGACUGAGACACGGCCCAAACUCCUACGGGAGGCAGCAGUGGGGAAUCUUGCACAAUGGAGGAAACUCUGAUGCAGCGAUGCCGCGUGAGUGAAGAAGGCCCUUGGGUUGUAAAGCUCUUUCGUCGGGGAAGAAAAUGACUGUACCCGAAUAAGAAGGUCCGGCUAACUUCGUGCCAGCAGCCGCGGUAAUACGAAGGGACCUAGCGUAGUUCGGAAUUACUGGGCUUAAAGAGUUCGUAGGUGGUUGAAAAAGUUAGUGGUGAAAUCCCAGAGCUUAACUCUGGAACUGCCAUUAAAACUUUUCAGCUAGAGUAUGAUAGAGGAAAGCAGAAUUUCUAGUGUAGAGGUGAAAUUCGUAGAUAUUAGAAAGAAUACCAAUUGCGAAGGCAGCUUUCUGGAUCAUUACUGACACUGAGGAACGAAAGCAUGGGUAGCGAAGAGGAUUAGAUACCCUCGUAGUCCAUGCCGUAAACGAUGUGUGUUAGACGUUGGAAAUUUAUUUUCAGUGUCGCAGCGAAAGCGAUAAACACACCGCCUGGGGAGUACGACCGCAAGGUUAAAACUCAAAUGAAUUGACGGGGACCCGCACAAGUAGUGGAGCAUGUGGUUUAAUUCGAAGAUACGCGCAGAACCUUACCAACACUUGACAUGUUCGUCGCGACUCUAAGAGAUUAGAGUUUUCGGUUCGGCCGGACGAAACACAGGUGCUGCAUGGCUGUCGUCAGCUCGUGUCGUGAGAUGUUGGGUUAAGUCCCGCAACGAGCGCAACCCUCACUUUUAGUUGCCAUCAUUUAGUUGGGCACUCUGAAAGAACUGCCAGUGAUAAGCUGGAGGAAGGUGGGGAUGACGUCAAGUCCUCAUGGCCCUUACGUGUUGGGCUACACACGUGCUACAAUGGUAUCUACAACAGGAAGCAAGACUGCGAGGUCAAGCAAAUCCUUAAAAGAUACCUCAGUUCGGAUUGCACUCUGCAACUCGAGUGCAUGAAGCUGGAAUUACUAGUAAUCGUGGAUCAGCGUGCCACGGUGAAUGCGUUCCCGGGUCUUGUACACACCGCCCGUCACACCAUGGGAGUUGGUUCUACCUUAAGGCAAGGUUUCAGGCCCUUGACCACGGUAUAGUCAGCGAAAGGGGUGAAGUCGUACAAGGAGCCUAAAGGNCGAUCGUA